UUUAUAGCGGGAGAUGAUGUUCCUCCUUUAACCGCCUUAAUGACUUUCUUUAAGGAUAAUGACGUCUGACAACAU
RNAcentral lists this non-coding RNA (75 nucleotides) under Photobacterium iliopiscarium. RNAcentral describes it as "Fluoride sequence". It matches the Rfam family "Fluoride riboswitch aptamer (crcB RNA motif)". The record is from RNAcentral. Lineage: Bacteria; Pseudomonadati; Pseudomonadota; Gammaproteobacteria; Vibrionales; Vibrionaceae.